GAUGAACGCUGGCGGCGUGCCUAAUACAUGCAAGUCGAGCGAACGGACGAGAAGCUUGCUUCUCUGAAGUGAGCGGCGGACGGGUGAGGAACACGUGGAGAACCGACCGAUAAGAAUGGGAUAACGACGCGAAACCGGAGCUAAUACCGGAUGAUAUUGUGAACCGCAUGGUUCAAAAGUGAAAGACGGUCUUGCUGUCACUUAUAGAUGGAUCCGCGCUGCAUUAGCUAGUUGGUAAGGUAACGGCUUACCAAGACAACGGUGCAUAGCCGACCUGGGAGGGUGGUCGGACCAACUGACACUGAGCCACGGUCCAGACUCCUACGGGAGGCAGCAGUAGGGAAUAUUCCGCAAUGGGCGAAAGCCUGACGGAGCAACGCCGCGUGAGUGAUGAAGGUCUUCGGAUCGUAAAACUCUGUUAUUAGGGAAGAACAUAUGUGUAAGUAACUGUGCACAUCUUGACGGUACCUAAUCAGAAAGCCACGGCUAACUACGUG
RNAcentral lists this ribosomal RNA (497 nucleotides) under uncultured bacterium. RNAcentral describes it as "partial 16S ribosomal RNA". It matches the Rfam family "Bacterial small subunit ribosomal RNA", at positions 28 to 507 of the family's 1533-position model. The record is from RNAcentral.